GGAGAGAUGGUCAAGUGGUUGAUGGCUCUGGUUUUGAAAACCGAUAUAGUUAAAAAAAUAUCGAGGGUUCGAAUCCCUCUCUCUCCU
Picea glauca (white spruce) is the source of this 87-nucleotide non-coding RNA. NCBI's taxonomy places the organism in Eukaryota, Viridiplantae, Streptophyta, Pinopsida, Pinales, Pinaceae. The record is from Rfam.